CCUACGGGAGGCAGCAGUGGGGAAUAUUGGACAAUGGGCGGAAGCCUGAUCCAGCAACGCCGCGUGAGGGAUGACGGCCUUCGGGUUGUAAACCUCUUUCAGUACCGACGAAGCGCGAGUGACGGUAGGUACAGAAGAAGCACCGGCCAACUACGUGCCAGCAGCCGCGGUAAU
This 174-nucleotide ribosomal RNA is filed under the name uncultured bacterium. RNAcentral describes it as "partial 16S ribosomal RNA". It matches the Rfam family "Bacterial small subunit ribosomal RNA", at positions 338 to 524 of the family's 1533-position model. The record is from RNAcentral.